Molecule: ribosomal RNA, 567 nt
Filed under: uncultured bacterium
Lineage: Bacteria
Description: partial 16S ribosomal RNA
Rfam family: Bacterial small subunit ribosomal RNA
Source: RNAcentral
UGGGAAUAUUGCACAAUGGGCGAAAGCCUGAUGCAGCAACGCCGCGUGAGUGAUGAAGGCCUUCGGGUUGUAAAGCUCUGUCUUUUGGGACGAUAAUGACGGUACCAAAGGAGGAAGUCCACGGCUAACUACGUGCCAGCAGCCGCGGUAAUACGUAGGUGGCAAGCGUUGUCCGGAUUUUACUGGGCGUAAAGGAUGCGUAGGCGGAUUUUUAAGUGAGAUGUGAAAACCCUAAGCUUAACUUGGGGACUGCAUUUCAUACUGGAAAUCUAGAGUGCGGGAGAGGAGAAUGGAAUUCCUAGUGUAGCGGUGAAAUGCGUAGAGAUUAUGAAGAACACCAGUGGCGAAGGCGAUUCUCUGGACCGUAACUGACGCUGAGGCAUGAAAGCGUGGGUAGCAAACAGGAUUAGAUACCCUGGUAGUCCACGCCGUAAACGAUGAGUACUAGGUGUAGGAGGUAUCGACCCCUUCUGUGCCGCAGUUAACACAAUAAGUACUCCGCCUGGGAAGUACGAUCGCAAGAUUAAAAACUCAAAGGAAUUGACGGGGGUCAUAGCUGUUUUUCCU